RNAcentral lists this long non-coding RNA (5008 nucleotides) under Brassica rapa (field mustard). RNAcentral describes it as "long non-coding RNA (BRAP_LNC008543)". Lineage: Eukaryota; Viridiplantae; Streptophyta; Magnoliopsida; Brassicales; Brassicaceae. The record is from RNAcentral.
GCGGAUUCCUGUCUGUCUUUGGAGGGCGAUCGGAAUCGAGGAUGAGAUCCUUGACGCUAGUUACUUCCGAGAGCUCUCCAGCGAGUAGCUUCGCGGCCAGUCUUUCUCCCAAGACUUUGCAGUUGGUCGUGGAGUGUCCUCGGGACUGGUGGAACUCGCAGAAGGUGUUUUCGUCAUUCCCUUGAUUGCGGGUCCACGUGUUGCCCGUGGUUCGGCCUUGAUCCGAAUUGAUCGCAUAAUUAUGCGCCCCUCGGAGAUCUUCCCCCUCGUGAUGGACGUACUUGUCGUUACGAGAGUUCUUCUUUCUCCCUUUCGGAUACACGUCCUUCGAGGAUGGUCUUGCCACCUUAUGUUUUUGCGAUAAGACUCCUACUCGACUAUGAUGUACUCUGUUGCUUUGUGUAGGGCGUCCUGGAUCGUUCACGGUUUGUCGAGGGUUAUCCACUUUCUGAAUCUCGACUUGUACCAGAGCGUCUAUCUCAGCGCGUCAAUGGCCACUUUGUCGCUUAUCCCGCUGACCCUGGACAUUAUAAGAGAAAGAGGACGACUCAGUCAAGAGAUAUGAAGACGAUUGUGGAGACCUUGAGGAGCACACUCAAAGAACAGUUGUGGACAGAGUAAAGAGGUUAUGGAGAAUGUUGUGAAGACGAGCAAUUGCGCAACUAAGAAUUCAAGGAUGAAUUCUAUUAAGGGGGGGAGAAUGUAGAAACCCGUUGAAAAAAAAAAAAAAAGAGUGGUCGAGUAUCUUUGUGGUGGUCGAGUCGCGGGCGAUAAGGAUCGAUCGAGAAGUUUUGAAGUACGAGGUGGGUGAAGAAGUGAUCGUGAGUUAACUAUGGGUCGAAUAAGUUUGUCGACCAUAGUUAGAAGAUGCCUUAGAUUGAUGAGACGGACGUUUUGGAAGCAUAACAUUUUUGGAAGCAAGACGGUUUAGAAGCUCGACGUUUGUGAAGAAUGACGUUUCUUCAGCACGAAGUUUUCUGCAAAACUUCGUAUCAGCGGAAUAUUAUUUUGAAGACAUUGGAAGCAUGACGGGAGUUAAGCACGACGGGAUCAAAGCACGACGGGAAAACCCGAAAUUAGACUAAAACCCUAAUUUCGGUAUUAUGCAAGUCUUCGAUGAAGCCGAAGGAUCGGGAAAUAUUUACCGCCAAAGUCAGACUUCAGAUUGGAGUUUAUUAAAAAUAUUAAACUCAUCUGAAUGGGAGAAGAAAAAUAUUCGGGAUUGAUCGCGGGACGAAAAUAUGCCGGAAAGGUCAAAAAUCGCGUAAACCGACCAAGAAGCUCGAGGUGUCCCUAUGCAUAUGGCCAGGACGUUCUGUCUAUCACAUAAGCAGCUGAGUGUCAAUACAAGGAGGAGGUGUAGACGUACAUGAAAGCUGAACAUGCAGCUUGACACAUAGAAGCAUGAGGUGGAACGGCCAAGCACGAGGUGUCUCCGCGCAUGCAACCGAAGCAUGCUGAUCAACAUGUGUGUGCUUGGGUGGCGUCUUGCAUGAGUUCCAGUCAUGCAGCCUGACAUCUGGGAGGAGUGGUGGCGUCCUGCAUGUGUCCUGGACAUGCAGCCAGCCAUGUAGAGCACGAGGUGCCGCCGGGCAUGCGUCCGGAGCCAUGCGAAGCGACACACGGGCUGCCACCAACCUGAAGCUGAUUGGCUGGUGUCUCCUAUAAAGACCCCACGACCCAUGCUCAUUUAUUCACAUCCAUACCUGUCCAAACCAAGUUAAAAACGUGAGAGAAAAGUAGAAAAAGAAAGCAAGUGAUUCCGAGCUAUUUCGAGAGUUUUAGAGAGUUUUCGAGAUCAGUUCUCUAUUGAUUUCGAGUCAUUGCCUUGGGAAGGUUCUGUCCAACUGAAGGCCAAUAAAAUGAAGAUCAGUUCAGAUGGGAAUCAAGUCAACGUGGCCAGAGAGAAAGAGAGAGAGAAGGAAAGCGUUCGAUCUAAAGUUUAAUCGAUUCUGAAGACCGAGAAGGCCAGUUCCGUCCAAUCGACGAUUCUCUACGAUUGUGACGCGGAAGCUCUGUCCAUAUCUAUCCGUCCAGCCCAGUCAUAUUCUGUGAUGGUCAAGUGGAGGUGCCGUCCGGAGUUAGUUCAGAUCCAUGGGUUCAGAUCAGUCGAAGUUCUGCUCGAUACUCCGCCGGAAAAUCCGAAGAACUGUCCAGGAGCUAAAGGAGGUUCUGUCCAGAUCAGUCUGUCAAGGCCUGUCAGCUUCUUCAUGGUGAAGCAGAGGCUGUGUCCAAGACAAGAUCAGUCCAGUCCACUCCAGUCAAGUCGUCCAUUGGGUUUUGUCAAGUCUUCUCUGAUCAACCAGCUGCUUCUCGGCAAAGAACACCGUGACUUGUGAUCAAUUGAUUGCUGACUUGUUUUCAUGCAGGUUCCCGUUACUUGUAAGUUUGAUCAUGGCAGAAGGCAGGGUCUAACUGAGUAACGGUUUGAUUAGUUAAUAGUUGAGUAUUAGUUGACUGAGUUGAUAGCAUGCUUAGUUAUUGCUUGGGAACCAUAGUAGCAUGCUAAUGGUUAGGUUGAUUGGUUAGUUAGCGAAUGUUGAAUGCUUAGAUGAUAUCGCUAAGUUGUGGAUAGUUAGGUAUUCUGGAAUUAGUUUUUAUGCUAGAUUCUAGAAUAUGAUUGAUUGUGUUAAUUGCGAUUAAUACUAGGAACCUUGUGUUAUUUUUACCGGGUUUAGUAUUAAUCGUAUAUUGGCCGAUAGCAUUUGUGUAACCCACAAUGCUAGGCAUAGUGGGGUGACUUAGUGUUCCUUCAGACCUCGUACCCGGCAUGUUCAAGGAAACCCCUUAUUCGCUGGAUCGGGAUGACUCAGAGAGACGGGGUCAUGGCCUAUGGCUGAGUGAUUACACGACGGUGUAAUGUGGCAGUGACCCGAAGGACUGUGGGCUGUCGCGCGGUGACCCGAAGGACAGUGGGCCGCGGUCGGUUGAAAGUUCCUUCUUCUGGCCUUUGUGGUAGAAAUAUAGGAUAUUGCCGAUAGUGAAGAAGGAACAUAACGUCACCAGGGCCCGAGUUUGAUAUAUAUAUUAUAUCGUGUUUUGGGUUGUUAAACCCUGAUUUAAAUCGAGUUUGAGUUUGGUGAUGAGCUAGUAAUUAGCAUAAUGCUAGUUAUCUUGCUAUCGUUUACCGCUGCGUAUUUCAGAUAUUGCUUAUUGUUAUUGAAUAAUGUUGUUAGGUGAACCUCUCGCUUUAGAUUGUUUGGGGUGGGAUAGCGAGGGGUUGUAUUUGUUAGAUGGGGAUCAUAAUUCACUGAGUAACAUUAGGUUACUCAUCCAACUCCGUUGUCCUUUUUGCAGGUCGCUUUAGGUAAGGAUGAUCGGAUAGCUUGGUGCUGGACGUUAGGACCGCCGGUGUAGAUUUCCAUGCCUUUUGUAAACGGUAUUGAGUUAUGUGUUUUGUUGGCUCGAUUUGGCAUUAGGCCGGGCCCAGUCUCGAAUUAUUCAAUGUAUGGAUAUUUCUCGAAUCAAUAAAGUAAAUGUUUUAUAUGCGCUUCAUGAGUACUCUGAUAUUUGACUAGUCCGGUCUAACACAACGUUAGGUCGUAGUACGGGUUGAAAAGCCUUAGGCCUCGAUCUAACAGAAAACGCUAACUCUUGGCGGGGUUGCAAAGCCUUGUGCCUUGACGCAGCGGGAUGAACUGGUCGAGGUCGUGAAGUAUAGUUAGUGACUCUGACCGGAUUGUCCCUAGCCCGUCACGUAGCGCUUCCAAACCAUGGUGUUGGGUUGGACGGUCAGUCAUGUUCUUGUUUGAUUGUUGGCUGGCCGGUUGGCCUUUCAUCUUCAACCCUUGGUGUGGGUCGUCCGUCGGUCAUGUUCUUUUUUUAUUGUUGGCUGGUGGGUCGACCUAUGCUUAGGACGGUUCGGGGGUGUUACAGAGGUGGUAUCAGAGCAUGGUUUCAUCCAUGCUUCCGGAACUCAAGAUUUAAUCGGUUUUAAAUAUUUAUCGAGUCAAAAAGAGUAACAAAAGGCAUUAGGGAAGCCAGUCACGUCAAGCGAUAGGAUUUGUGGUUUUAAGAAUUAGGAUUGUGAUAGUGGAAUCUAGAACUGUUAGGUUGCUGGUUAGCAUUGCUAGGUUGUGUGGUUAGCAUUGCUAGAUUGUUGUUAUUGUUUGUUGGGUUAGUAGAUUAUUGGUUAGUUGUCUACUAACUUGCAUGUGAGGUGUUGUUUGGAGUUGCAGGGAGUAAGUGCGUUUGUUGAUCGGAACUUUAAGGGAUGAAAAACUUAAAGUGGAGGGAGUUAGAGGCCAAACCCAAACUCGAAGAGAAAGAGUGGAGGCAGAUUCAGAGAACUGGGCUGUGGUAUGGACUGGACAGAUGGGAGGAAACAAGUCUUCGUUGGGAAAGGACUUCAUCAAUACUUGGGAAGACGAAGAUCGAGAAGGAUUUCAGGAAUCUGGACAAGUUAGUAUCAUGGGCAAUCAGUGUGUUAUGACAUAAUAAGAGAAAGAGGACAACUCAGUCAAGAGAUAUGAAGACGAUUGUGGAGACCUUGAGGAGCACACUCAAAGAACAGUUGUGGACAGAGUAAAGAGGUUAUGGAGAAUGUUGUGAAGACGAGCAAUUGCGCAACUAAGAAUUCAAGGAUGAAUUCUAUUAAGGGGGGGAGAAUGUAGAAACCCGUUGAAAAAAAAAAAAAAAAAGAGUGGUCGAGUAUCUUUGUGGUGGUCGAGUCGCGGGCGAUAAGGAUCGAUCGAGAAGUUUUGAAGUACGAGGUGGGUGAAGAAGUGAUCGUGAGUUAACUAUGGGUCGAAUAAGUUUGUCGACCAUAGUUAGAAGAUGCCUUAGAUUGAUGAGACGGACGUUUUGGAAGCAUAACAUUUUUGGAAGCAAGACGGUUUAGAAGCUCGACGUUUGUGAAGAAUGACGUUUCUUCAGCACGAAGUUUUCUGCAAAACUUCGUAUCAGCGGAAUAUUAUUUUGAAGACAUUGGAAGCAUGACGGGAGUUAAGCACGACGGGAUCGAAGCACGACGGGAAAACCCGAAAUUAGACUAAAACCCUUAUUUCGG